GGGGCUGACAUGGACUUGACAGCAGGGUAAAGUGGUAAGUAAGCAUGCCGAGCGUUGGGUGGCUGGCUCGUUAAUCCCAGGACUCAGACUUUUAACUGGCGAAAACAAUUACGCUCUCGCUGCUUAAUCGAAGCAUAGUAGAUUAAGCUUAAUCCCGACCCAAGGGGACGGGACGAGACAUCUCCCGGAGGCCGUUGUUUCGGGGCGCUCCGAUCAGGAGGUGCAGGUAAACCGGAACUAGUCUGAAGAGGGCUCCGAUCUUCAGGCGAAAUUUAAGGAGCUAAGGGUUGGUUCGGGUGUCGUUUCCCAGACCAAUCACGAAAACCAAAAAACGACUAAGCAUGUAGAAAGCUUAUGGCUUCCUUGUCUGGACCCGGGUUCGAUUCCCGGCAGCUCCACUC
This 401-nucleotide transfer-messenger RNA is filed under the name Thermophagus xiamenensis. RNAcentral's name for it is "Standard tmRNA". It matches the Rfam family "transfer-messenger RNA". From Rfam's summary of the family: Bacterial tmRNA, also known as 10Sa RNA or SsrA, is named for its dual tRNA and mRNA-like properties. Its role is to liberate the mRNA from a stalled ribosome. To accomplish this part of the tmRNA is used as a reading frame that ends in a translation stop signal. The record is from Rfam by way of RNAcentral. Lineage: Bacteria; Pseudomonadati; Bacteroidota; Bacteroidia; Marinilabiliales; Marinilabiliaceae.